Molecule: ribosomal RNA, 253 nt
Filed under: uncultured bacterium
Lineage: Bacteria
Description: partial 16S ribosomal RNA
Rfam family: Bacterial small subunit ribosomal RNA
Source: RNAcentral
UACGAGGGGUCCUAGCGUUGCUCGGAAUCAUUGGGCGUAAAGCGGGUGUAGGCGGACAACCAAGUCAGAUGUGAAAGCCCCGGGCUCAACCCGGGAAGUGCAUUUGAAACUGGUUAUCUUGAGUACAGUAGAGGAAGGUGGAAUUCCAAGUGUAGUGGUGAAAUACGUAGAUAUUUGGAGGAACAUCGGUGGCGAAGGCGACCUUCUGGACUGUUACUGACGCUGAGACCCGAAAGCGUGGGGAUCAAACAGG